AACUCAAAGGAAUUGACGGGGGCCCGCACAAGCGGAGGAACAUGUGGUUUAAUUCGAUGAUACGCGAGGAACCUUACCUGGGUUUAAAUGCAGGACGCAAGUCACGUGAAAGCGAGACCCUCCUUCGGGACGGACUGCAAGGUGCUGCAUGGUUGUCGUCAGCUCGUGCCGUGAGGUGUCGGGUUAAGUCCCAUAACGAGCGCAACCCUCAUCGUUAGUUACCAGCGGAUAAUGCCGGGGACUCUAACGAGACUGCCACCGUAAGGUGAGAGGAAGGUGGGGAUGACGUCAAAUCAGCACGGCCCUUAUAUCCAGGGCUACACACGUGUUACAAUGGCCAGUACAAAGGGCAGCUACCUGGUGACAGGAUGCUAAUCUCAAAAACUGGUCUCAGUUCGGAUCGAAGUCUGCAACUCGACUUCGUGAAGUUGGAUUCGCUAGUAAUCGCGCAUCAGCAAUGGCGCGGUGAAUACGUUCCCGGGAUACCAUAUGGCCCUAUGGGUUGUAAACUUCUUUUAUACGGGAAGAACCCUCCGACGUGUCGGAGACUGACGGUACCGUACGAACAAGCAUCGGCUAACUCCGUGCCAGCAGCCGCGGUAAUACGGAGGAUGCAAGCGUUAUCCGGAUUUAUUAGGUAUAAAGGGUGCGUAGGCGGACCUGUUAGUCAGUGGUGAAAUACUACGGCUUAACCGUAGAACUGCCAUUGAUACUGCAGGUCUUGAGUACAGUUGAGGUAGGCGGAAUGUGUGGUGUAGCGGUGAAAUGCUUAGAUAUCACACAGAACACCGAUUGCGAAGGCAGCUUACUAAGUUGUAACUGACGCUGAUGCACGAAAGCAUGGGGAGCAAACAGGAUUAGAUACCCUGGUAGUCCAUGCCGUAAACGAUGAUCACUCGCUGUUUGUCCAUUAGGAUAAGUGGCUGAGCUAACGCAUUAAGUGAUCCACCUGGGGAGUACGGCGGCAACGC
This 971-nucleotide ribosomal RNA is filed under the name uncultured bacterium. Its description in RNAcentral is "bacterial SSU rRNA". The stretch from base 1 to 517 matches the Rfam family "Bacterial small subunit ribosomal RNA", at positions 898 to 1533 of the family's 1533-position model. The record is from RNAcentral.